This is a long non-coding RNA of Carassius auratus (goldfish), 2442 nucleotides long. The record is from Ensembl. NCBI's taxonomy places the organism in Eukaryota, Metazoa, Chordata, Actinopteri, Cypriniformes, Cyprinidae.
AUGAGGACGAUGAUGAUGAUUAUCAUGAGGGAUCCAUUUGUUCACUGUGUGCCCACUGUGAGCAUUGUGAUAGCUGUGAUAAGUGCCCAUGCAAAAAAGGAGACGACUCUGAACACUGUGACUUCUGUGAUGACUGUGGAAAGUGCUACAUGUGUCCUGUCUGUGAGACCGUCUGCAAGCCAGGUGGCUUUGUUGACUCUGUUUCUGGAUCCAUCUAUAAGACUGUCGCAGACGUCUUGGAUGGCGACGAUGACGAUGAUGACGACAACUAAACCCAUUCGUCACCAGCACGUGGCCAAAAGAGGAACGUGCAGUUGGGCGUUGUGUUUCACAGAUUUCAGGAUUUACAUUGUAGCGAUUUGUUUAUUGUCGUUAAGUUAUUUUUCUCUUUUGUGCUACCACAUCACACGCUACAGUUUGGUCAAUAAAUACAUAUACGUGGAAUUAAAUUAAAUGUAUUUAACUGAACAACAUAUACCUUUUAAAUAGUCUUGUUAUUAACAUCAGUUAUGAUAUGAAAUGUUAUUGCAAAAGCUAAUUGUGUUGUUUUGAUGGAAUACUUAUGGAAUAAAAUGAGGGAACGUUUUAUUUAUGUGUUUAAGUAGUAGUACUUAAAAAUACUUUCAAAAACAUACAUUAUAUCAUAGUAUAAUUGUCCUUAUUGGUUGUAAUGUUUUUCAUUUUGCUGUCAGUUUUACUGCUGACGAAACAUGAUUUCCAAACAUGAUUUAUGAUAUGAAAGAUGGGCUUAAAGGGAUGUUUAUCUAAAAAAAAACUGUGUCAUGACUUUCUCACCAUCAUAUUGUUUCAGUGUCAUAUGAUUUUCUUUCUUCAGCAGAAAACAAAGGGGAAAGUUCUGAACUAGCAGGAGCCAGCCUUUUGAUAUUUGAUGUCCAAUAGUAAAAGUGUGCCAAUAAGAACCUAACUAGCACAUUAAAUAGUCAUACUACUUAAUAUAUUGCUCCCUGCAUGUAGCAUGAUUGGUCAAUAAUACUCAAUAACUGUUUUCUCACAAAUGUGACCAUGCAGCUCAUUGCCAUUCUCUAUCCUACAACUUACGACAGUAAGCAAAGCUGGGUAGUAAAGUGGCCUUUGAGGAAUAACUUAAUUAUUAAGCAUCCAUUUGAUAAAAGACUUGAACAGGUAAACGACACAAAGCAUGGGAGGAUAAAUAAAAAAGAGACUAAAUAUGUUCAUAUGUAUAUGCUAAAUAUGACUUAAUUUGUAUAUGCUAAUUAGUCCAUAGAAAUCAUUUUUAAAGGGAUACUCCACCCAUAAAUGAAGAUUUUGUCAUUAAUCACUUUCCCACAUGUCGUUCCAAACCCAUAAAAGAUUUGUUCAUCUUGGAACACAAUUUAAGAUAUUCUGGAUGAAAACCGGGAUGCUUGUGACUGUCCCAUACUGCCAAAUAAAUAACAGUGUGAAGGUCCAGGAAAGUAUGAAAAGCAUCGUCAGAAUAGUCCAUCUGCCAUCAGCGGUUCAACCGUAACGUUAUGAAGAGAUGUGAAUACUUUUUGUAAGCAAAUAAAACAAAAAUAAUGACUUUAUUCAACAAUCCUUUGCCAACAGCCUAUGCUCUUCAUUGUCAGCAGCGCCACAAGGAUGCACUGUUUCUGUGUGUAUUUAGCUUUGAUUUGAAAGAAGCUUUUACGAGUUUGGAACAUAGAAUGUAUAAAAAAAUGGACGUAGUGUCCGUGACGUCACCCAAAGACUCCCUGAAGUGUGUUUUUGAAGCCUAAAGUGUGCAAAAGGGUCUGGCUGGCAGCGCGUCACCGCGGGACUCUCCCGGACAAUCAAAAAUGGGCAAAAAGGCGGGAGCUACUUGCUGAAGCCACGCCCACCUAGCGCGACAGCGGUGACAGCAGCGGCAAAUCCACCUGUCACCUGUUUGCACCAGGCUGUAGACGUUUUUUUCUGCUGUAAAGUUGGGAAUUUUAACAUGGGGAUCUAUGGGACUGACCCCCUUUUGCAGCCAGCCAAUCGGACGGUAAUUGUUUCUCAGGGGGAUGUAAGUGAUUUUCAACAUUUAAAGGGGGUAGUCUAGUCGGUGAUUUAAUUGCCGUCAGAUUCCAGGAUGUCGAGUAGUCGGUGUUUUUCUCUCACCUCCUCCGUAAAAAUCCAAUGACCAACUGACAGAAGGAACGAGCUUUUAUUCUGAAAUUUAAGACGAACCAGGAAGUGGAGCAAAAAAAAAAGGUCCUUUCCGGUUCAGCAACAUAAGAGGUAAACAUCAACUCCUGUGCUUAUUCCCGCACGCUCAAACUUACUAUUAAUCUAUUAUAUAACAAAUUGCGUUUGAUCUAUGUGUAGCUACCGGCUUAUUGUUGUAAUGUGUGACAUCUGUUAUGGUUUGUCUCGCUAGUCCACCAAGCAAUUAUCCAGCAACGUGUAGUUAUGUGAAACUUUGUGCAAAAUCUGUUCACCAAAAAUACCGUAAAAACA